Molecule: long non-coding RNA, 486 nt
Filed under: Equus caballus (horse)
Lineage: Eukaryota; Metazoa; Chordata; Mammalia; Perissodactyla; Equidae
Description: lncRNA (ENSECAG00000055652.1)
Source: RNAcentral
GAUCUCUCAGGGGCAAGCAUGUUUCUCUUGGAUAAGAGUGGGGUGAAAGGCACUAUCGAAGUCUGAAUGCUGGUUGCAGAAGAUAAUUUGAAGAAUGGGAACAUUAAGCCAUACUCAUUCAACCUACUCUUUAAGAGUUUGACAGGAGGGCCUAUACCUGCAUAUGCUCCCACCUCCAUCCCAAGGGGAAAAAGAUGUCAAUGGAUGUUAGUAUAAGCUUCCUGAAGACCAACUCUCAAACAGACAAAUUUUGGACAAAAUAUGAAAAACACCUGCCUAAAGAUCUGGAGAGUAGUCAUCCGCAGGCACAGUGUUGAAGGGAGUCAAUGUGGAGAAGCAAAUAGCAAAGGGUGUCCUUAUCUGGCUUUGUUAUAAGAGUAAUGCUGGCCUCAUAAAAUGAGUUUGGAAGUUUUCCCUCCUCUUCAACUUUUGGAAGAGUUUGUUAAUCCUUCAUUAAAUGUUUGAAAGAAUUCACCCAUGAAGCCA